This is a non-coding RNA of Pelobates cultripes (western spadefoot toad), 267 nucleotides long. The record is from the annotation of a GenBank genome assembly. NCBI's taxonomy places the organism in Eukaryota, Metazoa, Chordata, Amphibia, Anura, Pelobatidae.
GGGUGACAAUGACAGAGUGAGGGAGGGGGUGACACAAUGACAGAGUGAGGGAGGGGGUGACACAAUGACAGAGUGAAGGAGGUGGUGACUGUCACUAGUCACCUCAUCCCUCCCUCUGUCACUAAUCACAACCUCCCUCACUCUGUCACUAGUCACCCCCUCCCUCUCUCUGUCACUAGUCACCCUCUCCCUCUCUCUGUCACUAGUCACCCCCUCCCUCUCUCUGUCACUAGUUACCCCCUCCCCCUCUCUGUCACUAGUCACACC